Molecule: ribosomal RNA, 497 nt
Filed under: uncultured bacterium
Lineage: Bacteria
Description: partial 16S ribosomal RNA
Rfam family: Bacterial small subunit ribosomal RNA
Source: RNAcentral
GAUGAACGCUGGCGGCGUGCCUAAUACAUGCAAGUCGAGCGAACGGACGAGAAGCUUGCUUCUCUGAUGUUAGCGGCGGACGGGUGAGUAACACGUGGAUAACCUACCUAUAAGACUGGGAUAACUUCGGGAAACCGGAGCUAAUACCGGAUGAUAUUUUGAACCGCAUGGUUCAAAAGUGAAAGACGGCCUUGCUGUCACUUAUAGAUGGAUCCGCGCUGCAUUAGCUAGUUGGUAAGGUAACGGCUUACCAAGGCAACGAUGCAUAGCCGACCUGAGAGAGGGAUCGGCCACACUGGAACUGAGACACGGUCCAGACUCCUACGGGAGGCAGCAGUAGGGAAUCUUCCGCAAUGGGCGAAAGCCUGACGGAGCAACGCCGCGUGAGUGAUGAAGGUCUUCGGAUCGUAAAACUCUGUUAUUAGGGAAGAACAUAUGUGUAAGUAACUGUGCACAUCUUGACGGUACCUAAUCAGAAAGCCACGGCUAACUACGUG